UCUUGGUUGUAAAUUCAAUAGCAUUUACCGGAGUACUAUGAAUUAAAUAAAAUUUAAAACUCAAAGGACUUGGCGGUGUUUUAGACCUUUUAGGGGAACCUGUCCCGUAAUCGACAGUCCGCGUUACACCUAACCUUCUUUUGCAAACAGUUUGUAUAUCGUCGUCGCCAGGUAACUUUUUAAAAUAUAAAAGUUAGCAAUAUAAACUUUAUUAGUUAGGACGUCAGAUCAACAUGCAGCCUAUAAAAAGGUGAGGAUGGGUUACAAUUAUUAAAUUUAUAAUACGAAUAAAUAUAUGAAUAAUUAUUUAUGAAGGAGGACUUAAAAGUAAAGUAAAUUAUAUAAACAACUUGAAUAAGGCUCUGAGACGUGC
This 373-nucleotide ribosomal RNA is filed under the name Microvoluta joloensis. Its description in RNAcentral is "partial 12S ribosomal RNA". The record is from RNAcentral. Lineage: Eukaryota; Metazoa; Mollusca; Gastropoda; Neogastropoda; Volutomitridae.